This 265-nucleotide ribosomal RNA is filed under the name uncultured bacterium. RNAcentral's name for it is "partial 16S ribosomal RNA". It matches the Rfam family "Bacterial small subunit ribosomal RNA", at positions 89 to 354 of the family's 1533-position model. The record is from RNAcentral.
UGGCGACCGGCGCACGGGUGAGUAACACGUAUCCAACCUGCCGAUGACUCGGGGAUAGCCUUUCGAAAGAAAGAUUAAUACCCGAUGGCAUAGUUCUUCCGCAUGGUAGAACUAUUAAAGAAUUUCGGUCAUCGAUGGGGAUGCGUUCCAUUAGCUUGUUGGCGGGGUAACGGCCCACCAAGGCAUCGAUGGAUAGGGGUUCUGAGAGGAAGGUCCCCCCACAUUGGAACUGAGACACGGUCCAAACUCCUACGGGAGGCAGCAG